AUGUAUAUAUAUGUUCCAGACCAUAUGAGUAUUUGGACCGUACGCGUACGGUCCGGACCAUAUGCGUAUACUCGUACGGUCCGACCAUACGCGUACGGUCGGACCGUAUGAGUAUACGCGUAUGGUCCAGUACGAGCUAACCAUACAUGUCAUCAUAUGGGUUAAAUUUAAACAAACGUUUAUCACAAUCUUAUUUUUUUUUUUUUUGGUUUUACAAAUUGUUAUUAUUACAAUUAGAUGGAUUAAAUGAACAAACGAACUAUUGAAAUUAAAUAGUUUUUUAAUUGUAUAUCUGAAUCCUAUAUAUUUUGGGACUCUCACCCAAGGUGACGCUUGCUUCCACAAG
This 346-nucleotide long non-coding RNA is filed under the name Mytilus galloprovincialis (Mediterranean mussel). Lineage: Eukaryota; Metazoa; Mollusca; Bivalvia; Mytilida; Mytilidae. The record is from RNAcentral.